UACGUAGGUGACCAGCGUUGUCCGGAUUUACUGGGCGUAAAGAGCGCGCAGGCGGUCGUUCAAGUCGAGUGUGAAAGCCCCCGGCUCAACUGGGGAGGGUCACUUGAUACUGAUCGACUCGAAGGCAGAAGAGGGAAGCGGAAUUCCCGGUGUAGUGGUGAAAUGCGUAGAUAUCGGGAGGAACACCAGUGGCGAAGGCGGCUUCCUGGCCUGUUCUUGACGCUGAGGCGCGAAAGCUAGGGGAGCAAACGGG
Molecule: ribosomal RNA, 253 nt
Filed under: uncultured bacterium
Lineage: Bacteria
Description: partial 16S ribosomal RNA
Rfam family: Bacterial small subunit ribosomal RNA
Source: RNAcentral